AAAAUAAAAUUUGAUUUUAAAAAAAUUUAAUUUUUAAACUAGGAUUAGAUACCCUAUUAUUUUAAGCUUAAUGUUGGUAGUAAGUAAAAUUUAUGAAAUCAUAAAAUUUUGGCGGUAUUUUAAGCUUGUUAGAGGAAUUUGCUCUAUAAUGGAUACAACGCCUAUAUCUUACUUAAUUUUGUAAUUAAAGUCAGUUUGUAUACCACUAUAUUUAAUUAUAUUGAAUAAUUAUAUUUAAGAUUUUUAUCUAAAUAUAUAUUAAGUCAAGGUGCAACAAAUAAUUA
Molecule: ribosomal RNA, 284 nt
Filed under: Ixodes ricinus (castor bean tick)
Lineage: Eukaryota; Metazoa; Arthropoda; Arachnida; Ixodida; Ixodidae
Description: partial small subunit ribosomal RNA
Source: RNAcentral